AGCGAACGCUGGCGGCAGGCCUAACACAUGCAAGUCGAACGAAGUCUUCGGACUUAGUGGCGGACGGGUGAGUAACACGUGGGAACGUGCCUUUAGGUUCGGAAUAACUCAGGGAAACUUGUGCUAAUACCGAAUGUGCCCUUCGGGGGAAAGAUUUAUCGCCUUUAGAGCGGCCCGCGUCUGAUUAGCUAGUUGGUGAGGUAAAGGCUCACCAAGGCGGCGAUCAGUAGAUGGUCUGAGAGGAUGAUCAGCCACAUUGGGAAUGAGACACGGCCCAAACUCCUACGGGAGGCAGCAGUGGGGAAUCUUGCGCAAUGGGCGAAAGCCUGACGCAGCCAUGCCGCGUGAAUGAUGAAGGUCUUAGGAUUGUAAAAUUCUUUCACCGGGGACGAUAAUGACGGUACCCGGAGAAGAAGCCCCGGCUAACUUCGUGCCAGCAGCCGCCGCAG
RNAcentral lists this ribosomal RNA (449 nucleotides) under uncultured bacterium. RNAcentral describes it as "partial 16S ribosomal RNA". It matches the Rfam family "Bacterial small subunit ribosomal RNA", at positions 29 to 523 of the family's 1533-position model. The record is from RNAcentral.